AAAAAAGGGGAAAAGUGAAGUUGUUCAAUUUACAAAUAUUAAGCUUGUAUAAAUAACAUGAAAUAUUUCUGUUUCCCUUCAAAACAUAUGCCAAUCUUGAAGAUCACACUUAAUUUUCAGCGGUGUUACAUCUACAUAUCUAAAUCAUGUUAAUACCAAAUGAAAUAGUUAUGGUUUUCCUCCGCCCCCUUGGAGCAGUGGAAGGAAACCCCAUCUAUCGAGAAACUUUCAAGGAGGGAAUAUUUUGGGGUCUGCCAUUUCACCACUGAUGCUGCAAGCACCAACGAGUCAUCUGCUUAAGGUAAAUUUAAUUCACUCUAAUAAAUUAUCGUUAGGAAGUGGGAGACAUCACUUCAGAAUCGUUGUUUUCACUAAGCAGGACGUUUUAAUCUGCUAUUAACAUCGAGCAAGUCAAAGUUAAUGCUAGCGUUAGCUACCGCAAGCUAGUGCUAUGCUAAUGCCUGGAACAGAACUGUAUAUGCUUUCUCACGAUAUUCAUUGAAAUGUGUGCACACCGUGUUUUUGUGUAGUGUGAAAUGUGCAGUAUAUCAAUUACUUUUUGUCAUUUAUAAUGGGAGUUUGACAUAUAGUAAAAGUGAAUCUGUGGUGUUUGCUGUUAAAUAAGCCCCACGCACAGACAUUGUAUGUACAGAAGACUUUUUGCACGUCCAUGCAUCCGAGAAAGUUUCAAAAAUUCAGAGCUUGGACCUGACGCGCCCGGCCCGACACAGUAUAUGACGUCAUUUUUGUCACGCGCCCGGCACAUUGCAGCCUGUGGGCUAUAAACCGAGUAGCAUCCAGCUGCAGCCCCGGAGACUAUUGUGUAAACCGGUCGGCCGCGGUGUUCGGCGUGGUGGUGUCCGGAAUGAAGGUGAGCUGGUCGAGGGGAACAGGUAACGGCGGUCGGCGUCAGGUCCCCGUUCACGCGUCGCUGCUGUCGAGUCGCCUCAGGUAGCGUCUAGCAACUAACUUAGAACUGGUGUGGACUAGUGGAAUCCGACUGUUUAAUUAAAACAAAGCAUCGCCAGUGCUCUGAAAGUCAAAGUGGAGAAAUGAAGCGUGGGUGUCAGGUAAACGGUGUGAGUAACUAUGAUAGAAUGAUAAAUGUAAUAUAAUAUAGAGUUUGAACAGUUAUCGCACUACCUCUGUUAACCCCUGGUAACAUGUUUAUCCUUAAGAUGGUUUGGGUCAAAUUGACCAGAGGUGUCUAUGUGGUUUUAAAAACAGUAUAAUUCUGUUAACCCAAUAACCAUAAACAUUUAUCUGUGAGCCAAUUAACACAUAGUAAAGAUUCAUAUUUGUUCUGAAGUUUGCAUGUGAAUUCUCAUAAUUGCCUCUCCUAUGUACUCCAGACUCCUUUCCUUCCAGUGUCCGCCAGAUUAUAAGUGAGGACACUGAGGUUGUAAGAGAACUAAUCAUAAAGGGACUGUGCGUAUAUCUUCACGAGGACCCAGCACACCUGUUCAUGGAAUAUGAGAGUGAAGACCAUGCUGCAAUCCAGGACGGAAUCGGGGACACCACGGUGGGAAUUUUCCUCAUAAGGCAAAAUGGCGGUAGUGAGGUAGAGGACAUCCUUGUGGUCCUUGAAGGCCAGGCCAUAUUGGUCGACCUACCAAGUGUUGGAGUGGCGGUUGCCAUGCCUUAAACCUGGACUACCCUCCUCAACUCAGAUACACCUUUGAGGUGGUACAGAAAGUUGUAAUGGAGUUGGAAGGCAAAGUGCUGUCAAAAAGGGCUCAGGCCCUGAAAAUCCAACUCUUUGAAUACAGAUGGUAUCUUAGAAAAUGUCAUAGUUUUCUGUUUUGCAAGUUUUGUUAUAUAUGUUUAUGAGAGCGCCUAAGUCUCUCGCGUUGCCUUAGUUUUGUCUUUUUUUUAAAGAGCAGCAUACAGAGAUUGCCUGGGACUGUAAUAAUAACCUUGUAAAGUCGGGUUCCUUUGUUUUCCUCUUUUUUUGAGAGUGGGUUUAUGUG
This is a long non-coding RNA of Solea senegalensis (Senegalese sole), 1970 nucleotides long. RefSeq lists it as uncharacterized. Lineage: Eukaryota; Metazoa; Chordata; Actinopteri; Pleuronectiformes; Soleidae. The transcript is spliced from 3 exons. The record is from RefSeq and is a predicted model, not a curated record.